This 520-nucleotide ribosomal RNA is filed under the name uncultured Glomus. RNAcentral describes it as "SSU rRNA". It matches the Rfam family "Eukaryotic small subunit ribosomal RNA", at positions 569 to 1087 of the family's 1831-position model. Lineage: Eukaryota; Fungi; Glomeromycota; Glomeromycetes; Glomerales; Glomeraceae. The record is from RNAcentral.
AGCAGCCGCGGUAAUUCCAGCUCCAAUAGCGUAUAUUAAAGUUGUUGCAGUUAAAAAGCUCGUAGUUGAAUUUCGAGAUCAAAUUGUUGGUCGUGCCUUGGUACGCACUGGCAUUAUUGGUUUCUCCCUUCUGACGAACCAUGAUGUCAUUAAUUUGGUGUCUUGGGGAAUCAGGACUGUUACUUUGAAAAAAUUAGAGUGUUUAAAGCAGGCUCACGCUUGAAUACAUUAGCAUGGAAUAAUGAAAUAGGACGUUUGAUUCUAUUUUGUUGGUUUCUAGGAUCGACGUAAUGAUUAAUAGGGAUAGUUGGGGGGCAUUAGUAUUCAAUUGUCAGAGGUGAAAUUCUUGGAUUUAUUGAAGACUAACUACUGCGAAAGCAUUUGCCAAGGAUGUUUUUCAUUAAUCAAGAACGAAAGUUAGGGGAUCGAAGACGAUCAGAUACCGUCGUAGUCUUAACCAUAAACUAUGCCGACUAGGGAUCGGAUGAUGUUAAAUUUUUUUAAUGACUCAUUCGGCGCC